This 369-nucleotide ribosomal RNA is filed under the name uncultured bacterium. RNAcentral's name for it is "bacterial SSU rRNA". It matches the Rfam family "Bacterial small subunit ribosomal RNA", at positions 527 to 896 of the family's 1533-position model. The record is from RNAcentral.
GUAGGGGGCAAGCGUUGUCCGGAAUUAUUGGGCGUAAAGCGCGCGCAGGCGGCCUGUUAAGUCUGGUGUGAAAGACCACGGCUCAACCGUGGGGUGGCAUCAGAAACUGGCGGGCUUGAGUGCAGGAGAGGAGAGUGGAAUUCCCGGUGUAGCGGUGGAAUGCGUAGAGAUCGGGAGGAACACCACUGGCGAAGGCGACUCUCUGGCCUGUAACUGACGCUGAGGCGCGAAAGCGUGGGGAGCGAACAGGAUUAGAUACCCUGGUAGUCCACGCCGUAAACGAUGAGUGCUAGGUGUUGGGGGUUUCCGCCCUCUGUGCCGAAGGUAACCCAAUAAGCACUCCGCCUGGGGAGUACGGCCGCAAGGCUG